Molecule: small RNA, 125 nt
Filed under: Marmota monax (woodchuck)
Lineage: Eukaryota; Metazoa; Chordata; Mammalia; Rodentia; Sciuridae
Source: RNAcentral
GCUGGGCACGGUGGUGCAUGCCUGUAAUCCCAGUGGCUCAGGAGGCUGAGGCAGGAAGAUCACGAGUUCAAUGCCAGCCUAAGCAAAAGUGAGGCACUAAGCAACUCAGUGAGACCCUGUCUCUA